Molecule: long non-coding RNA, 490 nt
Organism: Larimichthys crocea (large yellow croaker)
Lineage: Eukaryota; Metazoa; Chordata; Actinopteri; Sciaenidae
Exons: 4
Source: RefSeq, a predicted model, not a curated record
CUGCUUAUGUUGUGGUUGACACGCGAUGAGAGCUUCUGCUGCUGACAACACCGACAAGGCUGGAGGUUUCCACAACACAUGGUUGAAUUCAUGAGGGCUUACGGACUUUUAGGCAGCUCCAAAGUGAAUAAAAACCCAGAAUAGAGCCACGCGGAACACUUCAACUCAAAGGCUGAUCAGUCAACCAAGAAUGGACUUGAAACUGGUGUUCAUGAGAACACACAGCCUGAGGUGACGUUCUUUGACCCAAAUCACCUUCGUUUACCAGCCCUUGUUGACACAAUGUUUGAUAAUUGCUCCUCCUGUCCGUGUCCAGGUGGUCUCCCAGAUCCCCAAGGUUGGACCCUGGGUGUGCUUCCCUCCAUCCUCAUAGCGCUCCUCUCCUUAAUCAUCCUGGUGCUCACACUGCUGGGGGCUGCAUGUCUCAAAAAGACAGCUGAAGAUAGACAGGAAGCAGGGGGCAGAGAGAGUGACAUGCACUAAAGGGCCA